GUGGCUCAGUGGUAGAGUGCUUGUCUUACAUACAUGAAGACCUGGGUUCUAUUCCUCAGC
RNAcentral lists this transfer RNA (60 nucleotides) under Dipodomys ordii (Ord's kangaroo rat). It matches the Rfam family "tRNA", at positions 7 to 64 of the family's 71-position model. From Rfam's summary of the family: Transfer RNA (tRNA) molecules are approximately 80 nucleotides in length. Their secondary structure includes four short double-helical elements and three loops (D, anti-codon, and T loops). Further hydrogen bonds mediate the characteristic L-shaped molecular structure. tRNAs have two regions of fundamental functional importance: the anti-codon, which is responsible for specific mRNA codon recognition, and the 3' end, to which the tRNAs corresponding amino acid is attached (by aminoacyl-tRNA synthetases). tRNAs cope with the degeneracy of the genetic code in two manners: having more than one tRNA (with a specific anti-codon) for a particular amino acid; and 'wobble' base-pairing, i.e. permitting non-standard base-pairing at the 3rd anti-codon position. The record is from Rfam by way of RNAcentral. Lineage: Eukaryota; Metazoa; Chordata; Mammalia; Rodentia; Heteromyidae.